AUACUUACCUGGCAGGGGAGAUACCAUGAUCACGAAGGUGGUUUUCCCAGGGCGAGGCUUAUCCAUUGCACUCCGGAUGUGCUGACCCCUGCGAUUUCCCCAAAUGUGGGAAACUCGACUGCAUAAUUUGUGGUAGUGGGGGACUGCGUUCGCGCUUUCCCUGA
Molecule: small nuclear RNA, 164 nt
Organism: Macaca fascicularis (crab-eating macaque)
Lineage: Eukaryota; Metazoa; Chordata; Mammalia; Primates; Cercopithecidae
Gene: U1
Rfam family: U1 spliceosomal RNA
About the family: U1 is a small nuclear RNA (snRNA) component of the spliceosome (involved in pre-mRNA splicing). Its 5' end forms complementary base pairs with the 5' splice junction, thus defining the 5' donor site of an intron. There are significant differences in sequence and secondary structure between metazoan and yeast U1 snRNAs, the latter being much longer (568 nucleotides as compared to 164 nucleotides in human).
Source: Ensembl